GGGCCCGGAGGGUCUUCGGGUGGGCGGGUCUCAGGUGCCGGGGCGGCGGAGGGGGUCGACGACGACGCCGGGGUUGAGGAUUCCCGCCGGGUCCA
This 95-nucleotide transfer RNA is filed under the name Streptomyces fructofermentans. Its description in RNAcentral is "tRNA-His". The record is from RNAcentral. Lineage: Bacteria; Bacillati; Actinomycetota; Actinomycetes; Kitasatosporales; Streptomycetaceae.